This 1978-nucleotide long non-coding RNA is filed under the name Strigops habroptila (Kakapo). RNAcentral's name for it is "lncRNA (ENSSHBG00005000204.1)". Lineage: Eukaryota; Metazoa; Chordata; Aves; Psittaciformes; Psittacidae. The record is from RNAcentral.
AACUCUUCUCUUUUUUUUUUUUUUUUCUUCGGGAGAAAAAAGAGGAGUUUUAAACAAAGCAUGGCAGAGAGUUCAUAUGUGUGUAGGUCUUAAUAGUGUGUAAUGGAGAUAGAGCAAGGCAUUGCAAACAAGCUUCAGGCAGAUACAUCAGGAAGCUAUUAAUGCUCUACUUGCAAUUUAAGGCUAAGAAAAUGCAUCGUUAAGUGCAUGAUCUUGGAGACCCUGGUGUGUUGGAGUGGAGGCAGGCUUGGAUAUGUGGGAAAAUGUCUCUUUGACCAGAAAAAGAUCAAAACAAAGGGGUAAAUAAACAUAGAAGCAUGUGUUUCAAGGCUGAAAAAAAUGAGAUGCUUGGUGGAUCAAAAACCCAGUGUCAUUCAGGAGCUUGAGGAAGCCCCCGCUGAGCAAAUGGCCAGCAAUGGGGCGUAUUUGGGGGUGGUAGCUCAAGGCUCUAGGUGUCUCCAGCCAUCAUUGUGGUUGCUGGUGGUGGUGUUGGCUGGUAGUGGGACUCCUUUUGCCCUCCCACCCGGCCUGCGGGGUUUCACUGGGAAACAUGACCCGCUCUGAGGUGGCAAGAUGAGUGUUGUAUGUUUCCAAACUGGUAAACAGCUUGUUCUUAUUGUGGGUUGUCAAUGAAAAGGUCGGUUGUGUGCAGUUCUGUUCUUGAUGUUCUCUGGGUGGAGAAGUGUUUCCUUAUGUUCAAGCUGAACCUGUGGAUGGUGAUCUGGGGCUGCAGCCCAUCGUAUCACUUGUUGCUUCUAGGAAGGGUUUGGCCCCAUCCAUCUCCUCCAUCCCUGCCUAUGCCACAGUUGGGAACUGCUUGCAGAUGCUCCCAGUGUCCCCAGACCCAGCAAGCCCAUUUACAUUGCAAAUCACAAAUUGCAUGUGCACUUGCACAGCUUUAACCUUUGCAGGACCAGACCGACUCCCUUCCACUUCACUUAGAGGACUUAAUUGACUUGACUCUUUGCUGGCUCCUUCUCCUGUGAUAGGUAGUGCCACAUGUUAGAAGUGUUUUUUGAAUGUAGCCCUUUUUACCUGCUUUUUAAGUAAGAAUAGCUACUGGAGAAUCUCAAAUGUGUUUGGAGUCAGCAAUAAAUGAGUCCCAAACUUCUUUCCUUUAGAAAAUGCCCUGCAAAAACUCUGGUUUGAGAUCUCUCCAAAAUACUUUGAAGUAGUACUAAAGCAGGAAGUUAAUUAGAGCUGCUUUGAUAUCUUACAGCAUGUUUUAACAGCUGCUUUGGAGGCAGCUCAAACAGUAAGAGCAAGCAUGGUUUAGUGCAUGCUCCUGAGAGCCUGUGCCCCUACCAGAAUGCCGCUGCAUGUCAUGGCCACAGCCAGUUGUUUUCUUUCCUAAGAGCUCAAACUUGCUUGCACAGGGACUUGGGAAAAUAAAAUGGCCAAACCUCAUUGGACUGCUGCUUUCUUUUUUUUAAUAAAAAAAUCCCUCGAUGCUGUGGUGUUGCAGCCACAGUCUAAAAUUUCUCUUGUUUCUCACUUCUGUUUUCAGUUGUCUUUCUCCCAAGUUCUCCGGCACGCUAACAUUUUCCUUGUUUGUAUUUAAAUGACUUCACUGGAUAUUUUAAAACAAAACCAUUGCAGUAAGAAGUUUGAGCUAUCUCCUCUUGGUGAAGAACCUCUACAUAGCAAAAAAGCACAGGUUUUGACCCCAUUGAUCCACUCUCUUGGAGUUUGCUUGCCAGCAAACAUGAUCUGAAAUCUUUCACUGUGAUGAUUAAUGGUUGGAUUUGGGCAAAAUCCACUGUCAUGGAAAAAACUUCUGCAGUUUUUCCUCACUGCAGCUGUAACUUUUAUCCUUUUUUUUUUUUUUUUUUGUCUUUUGACUGCUCUUUAAACUUAUGACUUGAUUUUUGUUAUGUUUGUUACCAUUUUGGUUGAAUGAGUGAUGCUUCGGAGUGAAAUCCUACUCUUGGGUCUUAUUUCUUGAAACCUAUCUCCACAUUACACAAGAAGAAAGAAG